RNAcentral lists this non-coding RNA (212 nucleotides) under bovine gut metagenome. Its description in RNAcentral is "malK-I RNA". It matches the Rfam family "malK-I RNA". The record is from RNAcentral.
GGUGUCCGCCUACUCCACUCAAUAGACGGGCAUACUAACGAAAAGGAGGUUACCCAACCCGCAAGGCUCGCGGUGCGGCAGUGUGGAGACCUGCCGUAAUGCGGUUCAUUCCAGGACGGCGCGGCCGAAUCCCCGAUUCGGGCGGACCAUCCUCCGGUUUGACGCGAGGGCACGGCAAAGGACCGCCGUGUUCAGGGCUGUACGCAAUGGCA